This 117-nucleotide ribosomal RNA is filed under the name Thermoplasmatales archaeon SCGC AB-539-N05. Lineage: Archaea; Methanobacteriati; Thermoplasmatota; Thermoplasmata; Thermoplasmatales. The record is from RNAcentral.
UUUGACGGUCAAAGCGGUGGGGAAACACCUGGUCUCAUUCCGAACCCAGCAGUUAAGCCUAUCUACGUACUCUCUUGUACUAUGGUGCGCGAGCCCAUGGGAAAGUCACCCUCUUAG